AAGGAUCAUUAGUGAACGCCCUCACGGGCUUAUAACUAUUCCAAACCUCUGUGAACCGUGCCCUUCGGGGCUAUUUUACAAACAUGGUGUAAUGAACGUCAUAUAUCAUAACAAAACAAAACUUUCAACAACGGAUCUCUUGGCUCUCGCAUCGAUGAAGAACGCAGCGAAAUGCGAUAAGUAAUGUGAAUUGCAGAAUUCAGUGAAUCAUCGAAUCUUUGAACGCACCUUGCGCCCUCUGGUAUUCCGGAGGGCAUGCCUGUUUGAGUGUCAUGUAGACUCAAUCCCUCGGGUUUCCGAGGAGAUUGGACUUGGGUGUUGCCGCUCUGCCGGCUCGCCUUAAAAGACUUAGCGGGAUAGCACCGUAGUCGGCGUAAUAAGUUUCGUCGGUGAAGGUUGUGAUGACUGCUUACAAUCGCCCUCGGGCAAUUUUUGACUCUGACCUCAAAUCAGGUAGGACUACCCGCUGAACUUAAGCAUAUCAAUAAGCGGAGGAAAAGAAACUAACAAGGAUUCCCUUAGUAGCGGCGAGCGAAGCGGGAAGAGCUCAAAUUUGAAAGCUGGCGUCCUUCGGGCGUCCGCAUUGUAAUCUAUAGAGGCGUUUUCUGUGCUGGACCGUGUCCAAGUCCCUUGGAACAGGGUAUCAAAGAGGGUGACAAUCCCGUACUUGACACGACAACCAGUGCUCUGUGAUACGUCUUCUACGAGUCGAGUUGUUUGGGAAUGCAGCUCAAAAUGGGUGGUGAAUUCCAUCUAAAGCUAAAUAUUGGCGAGAGACCGAUAGCGAACAAGUACCGUGAGGGAAAGAUGAAAAGCACUUUGGAAAGAGAGUUAAACAGUAUGUGAAAUUGUUGAAAGGGAAACGAUGGAGGUCAGUCGUGUCUGUGGGAUUCAGCCGUCUCCGGCGGUGUACUUCCCACAGACGGGUCAACAUCAGUUUUGGUCGGCGGAUAAAGGCAGGAGGAAGGUGGCACCCCCGGGUGUGUUAUAGCCUCUUGUUGCAUACGCUGGCCGAGACUGAGGAAUGCAGCUCGCCUUUAUGGCCGGGGUUCGCCCACGUUCGAGCUUAGGA
RNAcentral lists this small RNA (1072 nucleotides) under Saitozyma podzolica. RNAcentral describes it as "eukaryotic LSU rRNA". The stretch from base 440 to 1072 matches the Rfam family "Eukaryotic large subunit ribosomal RNA", at positions 1 to 612 of the family's 3401-position model. The record is from RNAcentral. Lineage: Eukaryota; Fungi; Basidiomycota; Tremellomycetes; Tremellales; Trimorphomycetaceae.